This 182-nucleotide ribosomal RNA is filed under the name uncultured bacterium. RNAcentral describes it as "partial 16S ribosomal RNA". It matches the Rfam family "Bacterial small subunit ribosomal RNA", at positions 1317 to 1500 of the family's 1533-position model. The record is from RNAcentral.
UGCAUGAAGUCGGAAUUGCUGUAAUCGCGGAUCAGCAUGCCGCGGUGAAUACGUUCCCGGGCCUUGUACACACCACCCGUCACACCAUGGGAGCCGGUAAUACCCGAAGUCAGUAGUCCAACCUCGUGAGGACGCUGCCGAAGGUAGGAUUGGCGACUGGGGUGAAGUCGUAACAAGGUACC